CUCUGGACUCAGUCCAGGACUGAGAAUCACUGCUGAAGAAGUAACAGUUGGACUCAAACACAGUCCAACUCAGAGGACAACAACCACCUGCAGUUGAACCUGACAGAGAGAAACAGUUACCACAGAUGUGAAAUUCAGUCUGCAGAUGUGUAAAAUGACCUGGGCUCCAUAGUGUACGGCGUCUGGUUCACCCACUCCCAGCUCCCAGUCCUCCAGUCAGACAAACCGAUCCAGUAAAAGCGAGGCAUGCUCCUGCGGGUCACAAAGUCCUGGACAGAGAGAAGUAUAAAGAGAAUUGCGGGAUGAGAGGGCAGCAAGCAUGGGUUACACGGAGCAGAUGCACUGACACUGGAUGAAGACACGGCACGGGAGUCUGGGACACACGGGGAUUUAUUGGUGAAUUACUUCACCACCUUGUAAAUAAACACUGUCUAAACUGAAGAGUUUAACGUUUGGGUCCUACUUCAGAAAUAGAGAGGAAUUACUUUAAACCUUUAAAUCAGGUGGUUUUAAGGAAAACAAGGGAAACAAGAAAAUCCCUCCAAAUAUCUUAAUUUGACACAAAGGUACCGAAUCUACUCCACUAUAAAUAAGCAGUGCUUUAAUAUAAAUGUGUCAUUUUUAAUUUAAAUAUAUAAUGUUUCAAUAUCUAGUGUUAAAAAAAAAAAAAAAGACCUCUGGUGAGACACCAGCUCCACUCCUGGACUCAGAUCCAGGACUUACAUUUUGCAUUGGGUAGCUCAUUUAUAAAAACUGACCU
This is a long non-coding RNA of Oreochromis niloticus (Nile tilapia), 760 nucleotides long. RefSeq lists it as uncharacterized. NCBI's taxonomy places the organism in Eukaryota, Metazoa, Chordata, Actinopteri, Cichliformes, Cichlidae. The transcript is spliced from 3 exons. The record is from RefSeq and is a predicted model, not a curated record.